UCAGGUCCAGAGGGAUCUUAACCUCCUCUCAGGAGAGAGAAACCAAACAAGUUCAGGAAGAUUUGACUACCUCUGUACAUGCUAAUUUCAAAGGACUACAAAACAGACAGUAUGGGAGGUUUGCUGCUGCACAAUUGGAUAACCUUUGAUGUUGCUGAGCUUCUGCCAACUGUGAUUAGGCUUGGGAAAUGAGCCCUGCCACUCUGGACUUCAAUUUAAAAAAAUCAAGAACCAAGAAUCAUAUCAUCCUUAACGGAAACCUUCAGAAAGCAUUCCAGAAGCAGGUGUAACUACUGGAAUGAACUAUGGCUUAUAAGAUCUAUAAGUAUAAAUAAUUAAAAUGCAUGUGUUUGAUUGUUCUCUCCCUGCUGUGGUGUAAAUUAAGAGUAACACCACUGAAGUCAAUGGACUAAAGACAAUGUAAAUGAGAAGAGCAAAAAUGUUCUCUCCUUGAAAAACACAAUUUCCCCCCAAGAAUUCAGUCUUCACCCACUUUGGAUUGCACAUUACAACCACCAUCCAUCUAAAAGGCCAUUUCUAACAGAGGUUUUCAGCGUUACUUAAGAUUCUGAUUUUUAAUAGUGCUGAAUUCUUAUUGAAGAUGAUCACUCAACUCCUCUGAAAAAAAAAAAGUUGUGGUGGAAGAACAUUAUUAAUAGAUGUAUUAGUGGCCCCAGGAUCAUAGGCACAGUGCAAACACAUCGUGAGAAAGUUGUUGUCCCAAUCUAGCAGACAAGACAGAGAGGAAACAGAAGCAAAGAGAGGUGAAGUAGGUGCAACUGUUAAGUCAUUUAUUACUUAGAUAUGCCAGUCCAAAAAAAAAAUUGUCUGUAGAAUUUUAUCAAACACUUUCCUUAAAAUGUGAUUACCCCAGCUAGCCUCAUAUAUGACAAAUUAUCCUGGAAUUAGGUCAGUACUGUAUUUUUAACAACUUUGGCUGCAUAAUAUCUUCUCUAAAAAUUGUGCACCCGACAUCUAGCAGAUCAGAAUUCAGAACAUAUUUGCCUUUCUGUAACAAUCAAUUACUAAAGACCUCUAUCUAAAAGUCAGUUUUGCAAAGAAAAAAUACAGUAAUUAAGCCAAUGUCAUCUUGUUUUCAUAGUGCUCCAACUAGAGGCCAGUAU
Molecule: long non-coding RNA, 1124 nt
Filed under: Chrysemys picta bellii (western painted turtle)
Lineage: Eukaryota; Metazoa; Chordata; Testudines; Emydidae
Description: lncRNA (ENSCPBG00000024776.1)
Source: RNAcentral